This is a long non-coding RNA of Bacillus rossius redtenbacheri, 3921 nucleotides long. RefSeq lists it as uncharacterized. NCBI's taxonomy places the organism in Eukaryota, Metazoa, Arthropoda, Insecta, Phasmatodea, Bacillidae. The transcript has 2 exons. The record is from RefSeq and is a predicted model, not a curated record.
GAGCGCAUUGUUCGUGUUGUUACUACAGCGAUAGAAAUGCCGUAAAAACAGAAGAUAUUGGAUUUAUACGAUCCUUUGUUGAGCCAUAACAUAACGAUCUCUAACCAAAACUCUUUUUUUUUUUUUUUUUAUCUCUCCGAGUAUUCCUUUCCAGGCAUGUCCAGACUGCGCUACUAAAAUAAACUUUUCUGUGUGGAAACUUGACCCCACCAUCACUCUAAGAAACAGCUAUAUUACAGGAAUUGGCUUGAUUAAAACGACCCCCGAUCACUGCUGGCGUGAGUGCGCCACUCGGUGAGUAGUUCUGUUUGGUUUCAUGUCCUCACGGUGUAGCGUGUUUCUGUUGGCGCGUUCGCAGUGGCCCAGUGUGUUCGUUCAAUUCCAAGCCGUCGGCGUCCUUUUCAGAUGCACUGCUUACAGCACCAUAGGUCGUUUGAAAGACAUCGCGAGCCCACAUCCAUGGGGCGAGUGAAAAGUUAUUCGGACGGAUACUGUAAUUACAAGUUAUCUUUGUGGACAGCUAGCUCUGCCUUUUAAGGAGCCCGCCUAGCCAGUGGUCUAAUCGUGUUAGUGAGGCGGGAUGGUAAGUGCGACGCUCGCUGAUGCUUCUAGCCCGGCAUCGCCUCUAAGCGCAAGGCUCUGAACUGGUGUACGUAUGGCAACUAUGAGAUUUGAGCGGUAACAACAAGUCCUCGAUCUGUGCGCACCGCAAGUGUGCCCAGGCAGGCAGUGGUUCGCGAGUGCUUGUCGUGGAGUGCGGAGUCGCGCCAGGGGUGUGCCGCUGCCUCCGGGGCCCAGGGUCGGGCCGCACGCGACUCACCUCGCACAGCGACGCUCGCGUGGAAGGCUAACAAGGCUCACAACACACACAGCUCACGGCACGUACCGCCCGAGUGCGCCAUCUCUCUCCGAGCAGGUGCGCGCCGCCACUGCCGCCGCUCCCCGAGAUAAGGCGCUAAGCCAGCCUUAUCAGUGGAGCGCCCGCCCGCCGCUAAUGACGGCGCGCCAGCCGGGCACUAGAAGGUUCCGUCGUCGCGAGGAAGCGACACUGCUGGGCGACACGCCCAAUGAUUCUGUGCCUCAGAGCCUAAGUCACUGUGUUUUAUAUCUACCUCCAUAUACGUUCUGAGAAUGAAUCUUACAAUGGGAAAUAUCGGUUUUUUAUUUUUAUACACGCAAUUCCUGUUACCAACAAUAGCGAAUGUCAAAAAAAAAAUUAAAACUAACUCCAUAUGCGUGUGGCCUGCAAGAAAGAAUCUUAUAGUUCCAAAAGCCAGAAGCAACUUUUUAACUUGACUUGCGUUUGUCCGACUCAAACAAAGCUUUGUUUGGACUUUGUAACUCUCUCUAAACACUUUAGAAAUUCCCCCUCCCCCCCUUUGAGUGACAUAAGAUGUAAUGGUUCUAUAGGAAACGAACUUUUAAGAUGUAAUCUGCAGUAAAACAAGAAUUGACUAUUUCGGACUCCAGCUCGUUUAGCUCUGAGGUACAAGGUUAGUUAUUGAAGAAAGAAUUAAAUUUAGUUUAACGCCUUUCCUCCGUAUGCUCCUGAUUAUUCGUGACACGGAGAAAACCAACGAGGUCUUUCAAAAUCCAUUUCAGUGAACACAUCUAUAUACAUAUGCUCCUGGUUAAUCUUGACAGUAUUUUGUUAGUCUUAUCCAUGUACUUCUGGUGAUUUCUGAGAAAAAAUCGCUCUAUGAAUUUUUUUUCUCUCGAUAUGAGAUAUGCAAUACUAUUCAGAGUUUCGUUUAAUUGGUGAAUUCCUGAUACCAAAUUAAAAGUAUAAUAUUUUAAUCAGUUGAGAUUCAAAAAAAAAUUCAUUACUCAGACGAUGUCUAUACUAACUAAAGCUGAGAAACACUAUCAUACAAGACGAUUCCCCUUCCCCUUGAGGUCUGGCGAAGCCCUCCUUCUCUUGCAACCGUGAGAGAGCAUCCCGCAUCCCACAUAGAAAACAAAUAAUAUUUACCUCAACACAUGUCGAAUCUGUUGGUUAAAGGCGGAACUACUUGGCCAUGUUGUAGCCAAAUGUCGUUGUAACCAAAACUUCUAAAGCCAAAUGCCAUUGUAGUCUAAUGUCGUCGUAGCUGUUGGAGUUGAAUUCAGUUGGAGCAACUGAAGCAGUUGGAGCCAAAUAUAAUUGGAGCAAUUGGAGAAGUUGGAGGCAAAUGUAAAUGGAUCAGUUUGGAGCAGUUAGAGCCAAAUCCAAUUGGAGCACUUGAAGCCAAAUGCCGUGGGAGCGAUUGGAGCUAAUAUAGAUGGGUUCUAUCGUAUACUUUCGCAUUCUAGUGAGUUGAAUGUGCUGCCAUUUUUAAUGUGCUUCCAAAUGUGUUUCCUUUUUUUAAAGUGCUUCCUUUUUUUAAAGUGCUUCCUUUUUUAAAGUGCUUCCUUUUUUAAUGUGCUUCCUUUUUUAAUGUUCUUCCAAAUAUGCUUCAUUUUAAAUGUGUUUUUUAAUGUGCUUCCAAAUGUACUUUAUUUUAUUUGUGAGUGCUUUCAAAUGUGCUUCCUUUUUUGAAUGUUAAUGUGUUUCCAAAUGUACUUCCUUUUCGUUGAGUGUGUUUACAAAUGUGCUUCCGUUUUGAAUGAACUUCCAAAAGUGCUUCCUUUUAGAUGAGUGUGCUUCCAAAUGUGCUUCCUUUUCGUUGAUUGUGCUUCCAAAUGUACUUCCUUUUUAAAUGUGCUUCUAAAUGUACUGAAUGUGCGUAGUCAAGUCUGUAGUCAGGACUAAAUAUUUAAUGGUUCAACACCUCUUGAUCUUGUAGUAAGCAUAAAACAUUGUCAUGAUUUCUUUGUCCUAUAAUAAUCAUAUAACAUGCUAUGUUGGCCUUUUUAUACAAUGAUUUUUUUUCUGUAUGGCUGUUGUAGUCAUGUAGCCUUAAAGACAUGUAGCAUUGUAACCGUUUAGCCAAGUUCGAAUCUGAUUGGUUAAUCUUAGAUUUAUAGACAAUAUAAGUAUCACAUUUAAAUAAAACAAUUAAAAUUAACUGUUGUUUUAACUCGUGUAUUAAUGGUGAAAUGUUGUUGUUUUGACUCGCAUAUUAUUCCAGCGACCGUGAGUAUAUAAUUAGGGACUGCACGACGCGACAAUCAGUUGGUUAUUGUCUGCAUUGGUGUAAAAAUUGCCUAGUUUGACUCAACUGAUACUAUUCUUGAGAACUCGAUAGCGUCUUUAUCAACUUUAACGCCGAACUCGAUGGAGGUUGUAUCAUCGUCGACGGGACCCUGACGGCAGCGGCAACGACAGCGAUGUAAAACUAAAUGGAAUGUGUAUCAUCACCACCGAUAACACUAAAGAAGACUUCAACAGGCAUACUUCCACCAGCAGAAAAUACUUUAAUUUCUGCAGUGCUGGCUGCAGAGAAAACCUCGAUGAAUGACGUUUUGCAAGGGAAGGAGACUUCAAUGGUUUGAGUACCACUGGCAUCAAUGAUGUCCACUAAAGAUGCAUUGACGUCUUCCCAGCAUCGGUGUCGUUACUGUAACACCAUCAAAAACUUGAAAAUUCGUAUGUAAUUCACGAUUGUAAUAAUAAAUCUAAACUUGUUAAAGAUCAGUGCAACAGGUGUUAUAACCAGUUUAUACACUAUGGAAAACUGAAAAGACGCACCAGGAAUUGUGACGGACUGGUUUCGCAUUAAUCAAGACCAAAAUGUAUCUUCUGUGGCAGUAUGAUUGCGCUCAUGUUCAGUGUACGACAUCUUGAAAUAGAUCACUGUUCCUUUAAUGAAAUUUUCAGAUUUAAGCUUUGUGCUGUAUGUGGUAAACAAAUGUCACGUGUAAAUACUCUGAAAUUACAUGCCAAUAAAUGUAAAGGACUUGCUUCGCACUCUAAGAAGACUGUAUAAAUCGAGAAUCGCUAGUAAUUUGCUUGUUUUUGUACUUGUGGGAGUUAUGUAAUGAAUUUUAAUGUUUUGGAAA